UAAGGGCGCACGGUGGAUGCCUUGGCACUAGAAGCCGAUGAAGGACGUUACUAACGACGAUAUGCUUUGGGGAGCUGUAAGUAAGCUUUGAUCCAGAGAUUUCCGAAUGGGGAAACCCAGCAUGAGUUAUGUCAUGUUAUCGAUAUGUGAAUACAUAGCAUAUCAGAAGGCACACCCGGAGAACUGAAACAUCUUAGUACCCGGAGGAAGAGAAAGAAAAUUCGAUUCCCUUAGUAGCGGCGAGCGAAACGGGAAGAGCCCAAACCAACAAGCUUGCUUGUUGGGGUUGUAGGACACUCUAUACGGAGUUACAAAGGACGACAUUAGACGAAUCAUCUGGAAAGAUGAAUCAAAGAAGGUAAUAAUCCUGUAGUCGAAAAUGUUGUCUCUCUUGAGUGGAUCCUGAGUACGACGGAGCACGUGAAAUUCCGUCGGAAUCUGGGAGGACCAUCUCCUAAGGCUAAAUACUCUCUAGUGACCGAUAGUGAACCAGUACCGUGAGGGAAAGGUGAAAAGCACCCCGGAAGGGGAGUGAAAUAGAACCUGA
RNAcentral lists this ribosomal RNA (547 nucleotides) under Staphylococcus aureus. RNAcentral describes it as "partial 23S ribosomal RNA". It matches the Rfam family "Bacterial large subunit ribosomal RNA", at positions 12 to 553 of the family's 2925-position model. Lineage: Bacteria; Bacillati; Bacillota; Bacilli; Caryophanales; Staphylococcaceae. The record is from RNAcentral.